CAAACUUGAUGGUGUUUAUGACGUCGAUAUUCGACGUCAUAAACACCAAACUUGAUGGUGUUUAUGACGUCGAAUAUCGACGUCAUAAACACCAAAC
RNAcentral lists this microRNA precursor (97 nucleotides) under Paramuricea clavata. The record is from RNAcentral. Lineage: Eukaryota; Metazoa; Cnidaria; Anthozoa; Malacalcyonacea; Plexauridae.